Molecule: long non-coding RNA, 648 nt
Organism: Sesamum indicum (sesame)
Lineage: Eukaryota; Viridiplantae; Streptophyta; Magnoliopsida; Lamiales; Pedaliaceae
Source: RefSeq, a predicted model, not a curated record
UCAAGCUUGCCCUUAAAGAAAGUUUCCCUAAAUCACACCCAAAGCCCUAAAAUCUCAUCACACUUCCUUUCUUUUCCCUUGAGAAUUCAUCCGUUCAAAACCCCUUUUUUCUUUUCGUUGGCCGUUUCCACCAUCUUCGCCGCCGUUCCCACGGCAUUUGCCAUUCCCAGCCGCUACCUCCAUCUUGUCUCGCAGUUCCCAGCCGCUCGAGUUUGUUUCUGCGUGUCGCGAAGAUCUGAGUUCGAUUGCUUCUCCAGUUACUAUCUCCUCUCGUGGCUUGAGAUUCGAGGCAAGACUAGAGUUUGAUGACUCCAAACAGGUGGUUGGUAAAAGAUCGAAAAACGAAAAAAAUUAUUGUUGAUUAUGGAAAGGCUUUUAAGGUCCUGGACAUCUGAAACAAGUUGAGAAUAUUGGCUAAUGACUAUUGUUAAGAACAAUGUAGCGUUCAGAGCCUUGACUCACUUUUACAAUCAUGCAGUUGCUACUAAUUUAUUCUUGUUUACAGUUAGGAUAUUGCACUUUCUGGCAAGUUUACUUGUUAGAUUUGUAAUGCUAGUGAUAUGCAGGUUAACUAGUUAUGUGUUAUCAAAUGUUGGUGUAAAUACUGAUUGAAUAUGAGCAAGUUAUCUUAUAAUAUUCCUUUAGUUA